This 919-nucleotide unclassified non-coding RNA is filed under the name Hevea brasiliensis (rubber tree). The record is from RNAcentral. Lineage: Eukaryota; Viridiplantae; Streptophyta; Magnoliopsida; Malpighiales; Euphorbiaceae.
CAGAGGCUAGAUGUGGCUGUUUCCCUGGCAAAGAUUGCUGAUGCAGAUAGGAGCCUUGGCAACGAAGAUGCCGCACUUGAUAGAUUUCAAGAAGCCAUAAAAUUGUUGGAAUCUUUGACAUUAAAACCUGAAGAAGCUGCUCUUGAGCAAAGGCGCUCUUCAGUGCUGGAAUUUCUUAAAAAUCAGCUUUCAGAGAAACAAUCUGAUUAAACUCGUUGUAGUCAGCUUCCCUCUAGCAGUUCUAUCAGAGAAUGAAAUCAAGCUAAAUAAAAUGGCCCUUUUCCUGUAUAUAUACAAAAUCAACUUCAUAUCAAAUAAGCUUAAUUUUAGCUAUGGUGGUUUGAUUCCCAGAAGAUUAAAAACUUUCAGAGAAUGUUCGCCAGUCCUGGCGUAAAAGUGGAGUGCUCUUGCCAUGUAUCAUUUAUAGAUAGGCCUACUACUGGCCUAGCAUUACUCAAGUAGUGUCUGUAUGAGAUUUCACUCCACUUUUUUCAAUUAUGAGUUGCUUAAACACUUGAAAUUCUAUGUUUCGUGGAUCUUGUAAAGCACCUUAGAAUUAUCCCUCAAUGAGUAAGGACAGCUUACUGCAUUUGUUAUGCUAUCUUAUUGGAAACAAGAAAGUACACACGAGUCAUUACUGAACUCAAUAAUGUGCUUGGCUUUGUGGUGUGAAAAAUGCUAUUAAUCAUCACAGACGAUGGAUAUGGUGCAGAUUUUCUCUAUUCAUUUAUCUUUUUCUGGGUUGUCUUCACCUUAUUUUCUUGGUUUCCCUUAUUUAUUUAUUUAUUAAAUUCCAGAAUCUUAGCCUAGAAUUUUGUUUAUAGCACAAAAUUUUAUUUUGGCCAACGGAUUUAUAAUUUUUCUCUGUGUAUUAACAUCUGCAUCAAUUACGCACCUUUGAUUGGUCUUGGCAUUAGGA